RNAcentral lists this ribosomal RNA (432 nucleotides) under Triticum aestivum (bread wheat). RNAcentral describes it as "partial small subunit ribosomal RNA". Lineage: Eukaryota; Viridiplantae; Streptophyta; Magnoliopsida; Poales; Poaceae. The record is from RNAcentral.
AUGGGGGAAGAUGGCAUGGCUUCAGCAGAAACAGAGAAAUCUAGGGGGCUGGGCGUAUUGAUGGUGCGCAACACCCUCUCUUAUUGGUGCAUUGAAGUGAAUGGCGGCCGACGACUAGGCGAUGACUUCACUCUCUCUAACAAAGACCACCCCCUGCUAUCCAAUAUUGCGAAGAGCUUGAAAGGUCAACUACAACGAAAGCAAACUAAAAGAUUACAUGACCCAGAUUAUGAUACGCUCAACGUCAGGCUUGCAAACAGUGUUCUACACGCCAAUUGUCGCAUCAUGCUAGGAACCGACAAGAGAGCCACGGUAACAACCAACUGGUCUAAGUUCCGCCGUCUUGCAAAAAUUCAUGAAGGAGACAUUUGUGCAUUUCGUUUCAAGGUCACCACAAAGCAGUGCCUGGUUCUCAUCAUGCAUUGCCUUUAG